Molecule: ribosomal RNA, 251 nt
Filed under: Escherichia coli
Lineage: Bacteria; Pseudomonadati; Pseudomonadota; Gammaproteobacteria; Enterobacterales; Enterobacteriaceae
Description: partial 16S ribosomal RNA
Rfam family: Bacterial small subunit ribosomal RNA
Source: RNAcentral
UUAAAUUGAAGAGUUUGAUCAUGGCUCAGAUUGAACGCUGGCGGCAGGCCUAACACAUGCAAGUCGAACGGUAACAGGAAGAAGCUUGCUUCUUUGCUGACGAGUGGCGGACGGGUGAGUAAUGUCUGGGAAACUGCCUGAUGGAGGGGGAUAACUACUGGAAACGGUAGCUAAUACCGCAUAACGUCGCAAGACCAAAGAGGGGGACCUUCGGGCCUCUUGCCAUCGGAUGUGCCCAGAUGGGAUUAGCU